RNAcentral lists this ribosomal RNA (745 nucleotides) under uncultured bacterium. Its description in RNAcentral is "bacterial SSU rRNA". It matches the Rfam family "Bacterial small subunit ribosomal RNA", at positions 8 to 796 of the family's 1533-position model. The record is from RNAcentral.
AGAGUUUGAUCAUGGCUCAGAACGAACGCCCGGCGGCAGGCCUCAAACAUGCAAGUCUAGGGGGUGCAGCAAUGCAUCACCGGCGGACGGGUGCGUAACGCGUGGGAAUAUACCUAUUGGUUCGGAACAACUGCGGGAAACUGCAGCUAAUACCGAAUGUGCCCGCAAGGGGAAAGAUUUAUCGCCAAUGGAUUAGCCCGCGUAGGAUUAGCUAGUUGGUGGGGUAACGGCCCACCAAGGCUCCGAUCCUUAGCUGUUCUGAGAGGAAGAUCAGCCACACUGGGACUGAGACACGGCCCAGACUCCUACGGGAGGCAGCAGUUGGGAAUCUUGGACAAUGGGGGAAACCCUGAUCCAGCCAUGCCGCGUGAGUGAUGAAGGCCUUCGGGUUGUAAAACUCUUUCGACGGGGACGAUAAUGACGGUACCCGUAGAAGAAGCUCCGGCUAACUUCGUGCCAGCAGCCGCGGUAAUACGAAGGGGGCUAGCGUUGUUCGGAAUUACUGGGCGUAAAGCGCGCGCAGGCGGCUAUCCAAGUCAGUGGUGAAAGCCCGGAGCUCAACUCCGGAACUGCCAUUGAAACUGUUUAGCUUGAGGAUGAGAGAGGUGAGUGGAAUUCCCAGUGUAGAGGUGAAAUUCGUAGAUAUUGGGAAGAACACCGGUGGCGAAGGCGGCUCACUGGCUCAUUACUGACGCUCAGGCGCGAUAGCGUGGGGAUCAAACAGGAUUAGAUACCCCCGUAGUCC